GACGUAGGGCGCGAGCGUGUCCGGAUUUAUUGGGCGUAAAGAGCUCGUAGGCGGCUUGUUGCGUCGACUGUGAAAACCCGCGGCUCAACCGUGUGGUCUGCAGUAGAUACGGGCAGGCUGGAGUUCGGUAGGGGAGACUGGAAUUCCUGGUGUAGCGGUGAAAUGCGCAGAUAUCAGGAAGAACACCCGUGGCGAAGGCGGCUCUCUGGGACGGUACUGACGGCUGAGACGCGAAAGCGUGGGGAGCGAACAGG
This 254-nucleotide ribosomal RNA is filed under the name uncultured bacterium. Its description in RNAcentral is "partial 16S ribosomal RNA". It matches the Rfam family "Bacterial small subunit ribosomal RNA", at positions 524 to 776 of the family's 1533-position model. The record is from RNAcentral.